Molecule: long non-coding RNA, 492 nt
Filed under: Anas platyrhynchos platyrhynchos (common mallard)
Lineage: Eukaryota; Metazoa; Chordata; Aves; Anseriformes; Anatidae
Description: lncRNA (ENSAPLG00000020185.1)
Source: RNAcentral
AUGAGGACCUUCACUUGGUGGUGCACCUUGGAGGACUUUCACUGCCCUUGGCGUGUGAGGCACUUCAGCUCUGCUGUUAGUUCCACCAUGCAGAAUCAUUUCACUAAGUCCUUUGUCAAGCCCAACCUGGGAAUCCUAGGCUUUAAUUGUAAACUGAUGGACACAUUUGCAAUCCAGCUUCAGUGCCGCAGAGGAGUCCAGGGACAGAUAAAGAGAAGAUAUUCUUCACAAGCCUUCAGACAAAACUGUCUUUAUCGGUCAUAUUGGUCAGAAAGGAUCUCAUCAAUCCAGAAGCAGAGAAUUUUGGAAACUACUCAGAAGCUCCUUCUUGCAAGCCACCAUCAGAUCUUCAGUCUGCAGAACUGCUCAAGGUCUCUGUUCUUCUCAUCACACUCACAGAGCAAGCAGAGUUUUCUGUACCCUGAAAAUGGAGAGAAGCCUAGUGCUGAACCCAUGUUCAUUUAUGAAAUGUGGAAGAUGUCCAGGUGCUGA